AAUACCAAUUGCGAAGGCAGCUUUCUGGAUCAUUACUGACACUGAGGAACGAAAGCAUGGGUAGCGAAGAGGAUUAGAUACCCUCGUAGUCCAUGCCGUAAACGAUGUGUGUUAGACGUUGGAAAUUUAUUUUCAGUGUCGCAGGGAAACCGAUAAACACACCGCCUGGGGAGUACGACCGCAAGGUUAAAACUCAAAUGAAUUGACGGGGACCCGCACAAGUAGUGGAGCAUGUGGUUUAAUUCGAAGAUACGCGCAGAACCUUACCAACACUUGACAUGUUCGUCGCGACUCUAAGAGAUUAGAGUUUUCGGUUCGGCCGGACGAAACACAGGUGCUGCAUGGCUGUCGUCAGCUCGUGUCGUGAGAUGUUGGGUUAAGUCCCGCAACGAGCGCAACCCUCACUUUUAGUUGCCAUCAUUAAGUUGGGCACUCUGAAAGAACUGCCAGUGAUAAGCUGGAGGAAGGUGGGGAUGACGUCAAGUCCUCAUGGCCCUUACGUGUUGGGCUACACACGUGCUACAAUGGCAUCUACAACAGGAAGCAAAACGGCAACGUUAAGCAAAUCCCGAAAAGAUGCCUCAGUUCGGAUUGCACUCUGCAACUCGAGUGCAUGAAGCUGGAAUUACUAGUAAUCGUGGAUCAGCGUGCCACGGUGAAUGCGUUCCCGGGUCUUGUACACACCGCCCGUCACACCAUGGGAGUUGGUUCUACCUUAAGGCAAGGUUUUAAACCCUUGACCACGGUAUAGUCAGCGACUGGGGUGAAGUCGUAACAAGGUAGCCGU
RNAcentral lists this ribosomal RNA (787 nucleotides) under uncultured bacterium. RNAcentral's name for it is "bacterial SSU rRNA". It matches the Rfam family "Bacterial small subunit ribosomal RNA", at positions 705 to 1503 of the family's 1533-position model. The record is from RNAcentral.